This 306-nucleotide ribosomal RNA is filed under the name uncultured bacterium. RNAcentral's name for it is "partial 16S ribosomal RNA". It matches the Rfam family "Bacterial small subunit ribosomal RNA", at positions 507 to 807 of the family's 1533-position model. The record is from RNAcentral.
GACAGCAGCCGCCGCGGGAAUACGUAGGGUGCAAGCGUUAAUCGGAAUUACUGGGCGUAAAGCGUGCGCAGGCGGUUAUAUAAGACAGAUGUGAAAUCCCCGGGCUCAACCUGGGAACUGCAUUUGUGACUGUAUAGCUAGAGUACGGCAGAGGGGGAUGGAAUUCCGCGUGUAGCAGUGAAAUGCGUAGAUAUGCGGAGGAACACCGAUGGCGAAGGCAAUCCCCUGGGCCUGUACUGACGCUCAUGCACGAAAGCGUGGGGAGCAAACAGGAUUAGAUACCCCGGUAGUCCCUGUCUCUUAUAC